AUUGAACGCUGGCGGCAGGCUUAACACAUGCAAGUCGAGCGGAGAUGAGGUGCUUGCACCUUAUCUUAGCGGCGGACGGGUGAGUAAUGCUUAGGAAUCUGCCUAUUAGUGGGGGACGACAUUCCGAAAGGAAUGCUAAUACCGCAUACGUCCUAAGGGAGAAAGCAGGGGAUCUUCGGACCUUGAGCUAAUAGAUGAGCCUAAGUCGGAUUAGUUAGAUGGUGGGGUAAAGGCCUACCAAGGCGACGAUCUGUAGCGGGUCUGAGAGGAUGAGCCGCCAAACUGGGACUGAGACACGGCACAGACUGCUACGGGAGGCAGCAGUGGGGAAUAUUGGACAAUGGGGGGAACCCUGAUCCAGCCAUGCCGCGUGUGUGGAGAAGGCGUUAUGGUUGUAAAGCACUUUAAGCGAGGAGGAGGCUACUGAGACUAAUACUCUUGGAUAGUGGACGUUACUCGCAGAAUAAGCACCGGCUAACUCUGUGCCAGCCGCCGCCGUAA
Molecule: ribosomal RNA, 501 nt
Filed under: uncultured bacterium
Lineage: Bacteria
Description: partial 16S ribosomal RNA
Rfam family: Bacterial small subunit ribosomal RNA
Source: RNAcentral